CAAGAAUUCUACGUACCGACAACAUUCCGGCUUUCUUUUCUACAUGUCUUUGUCUUCGUCCUGUGUAUAAGGCAGGAUGUUGCUCAUCAUGCAAAGAACCAGCAAACGUUCCGUUCAAAUGAAAAAAGAAUCAUCCUCUUUGUCAUCCUGGGGCAGGAUGCCCAUCCUGCAAGCAUCAACGAAGAUUUUAA
Molecule: long non-coding RNA, 191 nt
Organism: Vespula vulgaris
Lineage: Eukaryota; Metazoa; Arthropoda; Insecta; Hymenoptera; Vespidae
Exons: 3
Source: RefSeq, a predicted model, not a curated record